Molecule: long non-coding RNA, 2291 nt
Organism: Hemicordylus capensis (graceful crag lizard)
Lineage: Eukaryota; Metazoa; Chordata; Lepidosauria; Squamata; Cordylidae
Exons: 2
Source: RefSeq, a predicted model, not a curated record
AAAACCCGCCUUCCGAGCAUGUUCAGAUCUUUAUCACUACAAGCAAAUUCACUCUGGGACUGGGGUUUUUGUUGUUGUUGUUGCUCUUUUUAAAAGGAAAGGCUAGAGUAUGCUAACUUGGGAUUACCCCCUUCCCUGUCGCCCCCGGUUUCUCCCCUCCUCCUGCCAAAGCUUUCCAUGAUCUGUAUGAAAUGCAAGAGAAGGCAGAUUGAACAGGCGAUGGCGAGGGUUUAGCCAUCCUUUUCUCCAUCCCCAGCAACGACAGCUACCCGAGCCAGGAACAGCCAUACGUCCCUUUUACUUUAUCGACUCACUGCAUCUUGAUAUUAUAAAAUCUCUUUCAUUAACUUAAAAAGAGACAACAUCUGAGGAGCGGCCCCAAACCCCGAUUUGGGAAAUCACUCCCGAAAGUAUCAAAUGUGGGGCUAAUUAACUUACAGGCGCUUGGGGCCAAAUGUGGGGCAGGAGAGGGCAGCCCGUUUUAGGCUCGGUGGCUUCAGAAACCUACUGCUUUCCAAGUUCGAUUUCCCACCCCCGGCUCGUUAGGGAGAUGAUGAGUUCUUCUGGGCAGGCCGAUGCAGAUUCCUGAACUGCCGCUCCCUAAACAGACCGCUGUGUAGACCAAACUAGCCGCUUCCAUCUGACAGGUGGGGGGAAUCCAGCAGGCUCGGGAACUACUUCCAGACACGCGUUGAAGACAAGACAAUUGUAUCCAUGUGUCACUAACUGAACUUUCCCUCUUUAUCACGAUCUCUGUCUCUCUUUUUCUUAUUGUUAUCAAGGUGGAAACCGCCGGCGACCUGUUCCUGGAAAGGACCUCCUCCUGCCUCGCCUCCUUUUCGACGCGGCGCCAGAACGCUGCACACAGGCAGACGCCCCUCCGCUGCUCCCCAGGUUUCACGGUCUUUCGGCUUUGAUUUGAUGUGGCAGUGGCAGCCCUCUCCUUCUCCCACGGAAGUGAUAGUGGAACUUCCGGAGGAGGGAUACCAAGCAGGGUAGCAUUUGACGGGAGAACGAAUAUGUCUGCCGCAUUUCUGUGUAUGUGGCACAGAAUCUACUGAUGCCCUUGCAAAGGACAACGUCCAGCAUCCACGGCUGACUGAGAUCUGCCCCUUCCCCCAAAUAUGGAGGCCCUCUAUUUCUCCAGGGAUCGAGUGGCUCUCGGGCGGAUGCACAGAAAGGACUCCACACCUUGCACUGAACACACAAAGUAACGUCGUAGCCUAACAACUUCUGGGCCACUUCGCCAUUCUGCAGCCAAAACAUCAUCGCCACCUGGGUUCCUACAGCAGAAACCGUUUCGAAACCCACUUUAUGAAUGGGAUGAAAUUAAAACUAGGUUGAAGAGGUGGGAUGAGACAAUCUAGUAUUUUGGAACUCCAAAAGCAACAUAAUUCGAAAGACUCUGGUCUUCUCUUCGCCCUACUUGCAAAGAAUAAACACAUUUGGGGCCUUCCUCUGAAAAGUGCCAGCAAUUACAGAGCUGGUCCGAGCCCGCCAGGGUCCUCCGCGUAGCUGGGAGGUCUUAGACUCCUGUGAUCUGUUGAGAGAGGGCUAAUGACUGGUGGGAGACGAGAAGGUCGGAAAUGAGAUAGAAUCAAGGAAAAAUAAUUUGGACAUCAGGAAGCCUGUAUUUAAGCUGCUUGAAGAAGAAACGUGCUUUAACUUUAGGGCUCCGCCUAGGACUAUUUCCUCCCACCACGGGCAUUUCGGGGGUCACUGUUAACCCUCUAAAUGCCUAAUAGAAGCAAGUUUCUUGUGUUGUGUCCUCGACCAGAAAUAGUUACGGGUCUCGUGUCUAUCUGAACCAUAUGCUCAAUACAUGUAUAUCUUAUGGUGCAAUCAAUGUUCUCUGCAUACUGACAUGGGAGCAACUGAACUCGAUGGGGUUUACUUCCAAAUAUACAAAACUAUGCACCUCAUAUACAAGAAAAUUCUUACAUACACGCAUCUUGUAUACAAGAAAAAUCUGCUUCCCUUUCCUAUUGUAAUGAACAACACACACACACACACACACACACACACAAGCAGAACCCAACGGUGGAUUCCCCUGCAGAGCAUAAUAUUCAUCCCAAACUCAUUACUUGGAAAGAAGUCCCAUAAAUUCUAAUAAGCUUUGGUUUUGAUUGCAGAUGUUUUUAAUGUGGAGUUGUUUGUUUGGAAUUUCCCGCGAUUUGUUUCAAUGAUUUAGAAAUAACCCGGUUUUCUAAUAUCUUCCCUGCCUGAUAUGUUUGGGAAGCGUUGAAAACGUGUUAGCAGCUGCGUUUAAAUAAAGUGUUAUUUAUUUAAGA